RNAcentral lists this long non-coding RNA (362 nucleotides) under Bemisia tabaci. RNAcentral's name for it is "lncRNA ENSSWEETPG004215". The record is from RNAcentral. Lineage: Eukaryota; Metazoa; Arthropoda; Insecta; Hemiptera; Aleyrodidae.
UUCAAGAAAAUUAUGAGAAAGUCUUUCGGCUAGUUACAUUAAACUCGCGAUUUAAUGCAUCAUAUAUAAGUAAAUGUAAACGCAUGUUACAGGUUUUCCGUCAACUGCAGCGUAUGCCGCAUACACGGCUGGCCGCGCAGGAUAUUCUGGCUACCCCAGCUUUGGACUACCUUAUCCUGCAGGGGCCAUUGAUUCCGGCUGCAUUCACCAACGGUUACCAUUGAGUGCCAUUGUAUAGUCACGAGCAUAUGCCAACUGAUCUUUGAGGUAAGGUAUACUAUUAUGAAUUUGUAACCAACCAAGCCGCUCGUGGCUUUAGUACACUUUAAGUGAUUUAAUCACUGUACCAGCCUGUGCUCCAU